UCAGGGCUCAUGACCACACCUGAAGCAGCAGUGUGAUGGAGGCAGCAAAAUGUGUGGAACCGUCAUUAUGAAGAAGGCAAUGCUCUCCUGCACCAGGGAGCUCUUCACCCCACAACUACAGAGCUCCUGUCUUCCAAGGUUCCCGAACUGUUCUGGGAAGUGCUCCUAAUCACCUGAGGUUUACAUACAAACAACCCCAGGACAUUUCAUUUAGCUACCAAUGUCAUGAUUACCAAAAAUUAAUUAACAAUAUGGUGGUCGUCAUCACAUCUGAGUCACCAAAUCAAAAUUCAGGACACAUUUCCAUGCAAAGUGCAGCCUUCUUCUUACGUUUCAUAAUUGUCAUUUCAAAUGAGAUCUUGGUUGGAAACAAUUGCUUAACUGUUUCAAGGUAUACUGGGUUAUCACUAACUCAUUUCUGUAAAGCAGAAUACAAGACCUCAACCUGUUAGAGAUCCUUUGUUGAUUAACAAGCUGAUUAAUAAGCUGAUUGUUCUCCUGAUUUAAGGCCUAUACCAAAAUUCUUGAAGCUCAAUUUGCACCACAGAGUACGCCAAUAUGUUUGAGUGAACUGGCUCUGGCUCUCCGAAGCUGUUUUGUAAAGACAAGAGACUAUAAGCCAUGGUGAGUAGUUAUACAUGAAGAACCUCAAUUAAUGCCUUACAUAUGGCAUGAGGAGACUAGAAAUUUUCUUGUUAAUGGGGCAGGGGUAUAAUAAUAAAUAUCUUGGCAAAUGAGAAGGGUCAAACUGUUUAUGGUUAAGAACACAAAUUUUGAGCCAAAAUACAUGGAUUUGAAUCCCUGCUAUACCCCAUUAUUAGCUAUGUGACUUCAGGCAAGUUAUUUAAGGUUGCUGUGCCACAUUUCCAUCCACCUGUAAAAUGGGGAUAAUAUUUAUAGAAGUUAAAAACUAGCUAGCACUUGUUAAAGUGUUAUCUAACACAUUUAUGAAGAAAUCAGCAGAAAGAUAAAGUAGCUGGAAAGGAAGAUUUAAGUCGAAUUGCAAAUUGCAUGUAGUGUUCACUAGGUUAACUUUCAACAGAGCUAUAAAACCAUAUCACCUUUAGAGUUAAUAUAUCUCCAUGGCUAUCAAAUUAUAAAAACUCUUUAAUUUCUGCACGUCAAUCUCUUGACCUCAAAGGACCAUAAACCAUCCACACACUUUUCAGUUGUUGAUUGUUAGCCAAGCAAAGUUACAUUCUCAGCAUGUGUCAGAUGAUGCUCAAAUGGGCUUAUUGGAAAAUGACCUAGCAUGACAUUUUAAAAAUCAAGCAAUAAUCAUUUAUCUCAUCUCUAAAUUUAGGAUAAAUAUUUUUAGUAGCCUUGCCAUGAUUUUCAUGCCAAUUUAUAUUUGUAAAGCACUUUGAAAAGUGUCUGGCACAAGGUUAAGUAAAAUACUCAGUAAUUAGGCAGUAGUAAAAAGAUAUGGCCUAUAGAAUCUGUACUAUUUUAAAAGAGCUUACGUCAUUUGUCUGAAAUAAUUUUUAAGGAUGCCACAGGAAUGGUUUGGUUGUAGACCCCACUCCAUAAAUCAAGUUUCCCUGAGGGAAAAAAUUAAGCAACAGAAUAGAAGACAGAAAUAGAGAAAAGAACUACUCAAAACGAAUUUGAAUGCCGUAAUAGGAUAAUCAUUUAUAUUUGGAGACAAAAAUGCUAAGAGUUAUAUUAGAAUAUUCCAGAGAGACAGA
RNAcentral lists this long non-coding RNA (1688 nucleotides) under Homo sapiens (human). RNAcentral describes it as "HSALNT0064411". The record is from RNAcentral. Lineage: Eukaryota; Metazoa; Chordata; Mammalia; Primates; Hominidae.